UAACACAUGCAAGUCGAGGGGAAACGACAUCGAAAGCUUGCUUUUGAUGGGCGUCGACCGGCGCACGGGUGAGUAACGCGUAUCCAACCUGCCCACCACUUGGGGAUAACCUUGCGAAAGUAAGACUAAUACCCAAUGACGUCUCUAGAAGACAUCUGAAAGAGAUUAAAGAUUUAUCGGUGAUGGAUGGGGAUGCGUCUGAUUAGCUUGUUGGCGGGGUAACGGCCCACCAAGGCAACGAUCAGUAGGGGUUCUGAGAGGAAGGUCCCCCACAUUGGAACUGAGACACGGUCCAAACUCCUACGGGAGGCAGCAGUGAGGAAUAUUGGUCAAUGGACGAGAGUCUGAACCAGCCAAGUAGCGUGCAGGAUGACGGCCCUAUGGGUUGUAAACUGCUUUUAUAAGGGAAUAAAGUGAGUCUCGUGAGACUUUUUGCAUGUACCUUAUGAAUAAGGACCGGCUAAUUCCGUGCCAGCAGCCGCGGUAAUACGGAAGGUCCGGGCGUUAUCCGGAUUUAUUGGGUUUAAAGGGAGCGUAGGCCGGAGAUUAAGCGUGUUGUGAAAUGUAGACGCUCAACGUCUGCACUGCAGCGCGAACUGGUUUCCUUGAGUACGCACAAAGUGGGCGGAAUUCGUGGUGUAGCGGUGAAAUGCUUAGAUAUCACGAAGAACUCCGAUUGCGAAGGCAGCUCACUGGAGCGCAACUGACGCUGAAGCUCGAAAGUGCGGGUAUCGAACAGGAUUAGAUACCCUGGUAGUCCGCACGGUAAACGAUGGAUGCCCGCUGUUGGUCUGAAUAGGUCAGCGGCCAA
This 811-nucleotide ribosomal RNA is filed under the name uncultured bacterium. Its description in RNAcentral is "bacterial SSU rRNA". It matches the Rfam family "Bacterial small subunit ribosomal RNA", at positions 49 to 850 of the family's 1533-position model. The record is from RNAcentral.